AACGAACGCUGGCGGCGUGUUUAAGACAUGCAAGUCGCACGGGAUUGAUUGAGUAGUAAUACGAGAUCAGUCUAGUGGCGCACGGGUGAGUAACAUGUGAAUGACAUGCCCUUCAGUGGGGAAUAGCCCAGGGAAACUUGGAUUAAUACCCCAUGGUAUCGCGAGAUUAAAGGUGGCCGCAAGGCUGUCGCUGAAGGAUUGGUGCGCACCCUAUCAGCUUGUUGGCGGGGUAACGGCCCACCAAGGCUACGACGGGUACCUGGUCUGAGAGGACGAUCAGGCACACUGGAACGGAGACACGGUCCAGACACCUACGGGUGGCAGCAUUCGAGGGUAGUUCACAAUGGGGGCAACCCUGAUGGUGCAACGCCGCGUGGAGGAUGACGGUCUUCGGAUUGUAAACUCCUGUCAUCCGGGAGUAAGACCUGGCGAUGAAUAGUCGACAGGGUUGAUAGUACCGGAAGAGGAAGGGACGGCUAACUUCGUGCCAGCCGCCGCCGUAAUAC
This 506-nucleotide ribosomal RNA is filed under the name uncultured bacterium. RNAcentral's name for it is "bacterial SSU rRNA". It matches the Rfam family "Bacterial small subunit ribosomal RNA", at positions 29 to 526 of the family's 1533-position model. The record is from RNAcentral.